Molecule: ribosomal RNA, 253 nt
Filed under: uncultured bacterium
Lineage: Bacteria
Description: partial 16S ribosomal RNA
Rfam family: Bacterial small subunit ribosomal RNA
Source: RNAcentral
UACGUAGGGUGCAAGCGUUGUCCGGAAUCACUGGGCGUAAAGGGCGCGUAGGCGGCUUUAUAAGUCGAGGGUGAAAGCCUGUGGCUCAACCACAGAAUUGCCUUCGAUACUGUAGAGCUUGAGACCGGAAGAGGUAAGUGGAACUGCGAGUGUAGAGGUGAAAUUCGUAGAUAUUCGCAAGAACACCAGUGGCGAAGGCGGCUUACUGGUCCGGUUCUGACGCUGAGGCGCGAAAGCGUGGGGAGCAAACAGG